RNAcentral lists this ribosomal RNA (327 nucleotides) under uncultured eukaryote. RNAcentral's name for it is "partial 18S ribosomal RNA". It matches the Rfam family "Eukaryotic small subunit ribosomal RNA", at positions 1470 to 1796 of the family's 1831-position model. The record is from RNAcentral.
CCCUUAGAUGUUCUGGGCCGCACGCGCGCUACACUGAUUCAUGCAACAAGUUUUGUCCUUGGCUGAUAGGCCUGGGUAAUCUUUGAACGUGAAUCGUGAUGGGGAUAGAUGAUUGCAAUUAUUCAUCUUCAACGAGGUAUUCCUAGUAAACGCAAGUCAUCAGCUUGCAUUGAUUACGUCCCUGCCCUUUGUACACACCGCCCGUCGCACCUACCGAUUGAAUGGUCCGGUGAAAUCUUCGGAUCUGAGAGAUGUCUGAUUAAUUUCGGACGCCUUUUGGAAAAGUUGUUUAAACCUUACCAUUUAGAGGAAGGUGAANUCGUANCA